UAGGGAAUAUUGGACAAUGGGUGAGAGCCUGAUCCAGCCAUGCCGCGUGCAGGAAGAAGGCGUUAUGCGUUGUAAACUGCUUUUUGCCAGGGGAUAAAGUGAGCGUGCGCGCUUAAUUGAAGGUACCUGGUGAAUAAGCCACGGCUAACUACGUGCCAGCAGCCGCGGUAAUACGUAGGUGGCAAGCGUUGUCCGGAUUUAUUGGGUUUAAAGGGUGCGUAGGUGGCCCUGUAAGUCAGUGGUGAAAUAUCUCAGCUUAACUGAGAGGGUGCCAUUGAUACUGCAGGGCUUGAGUACAGAUGAGGUAGGCGGAAUUGACGGUGUAGCGGUGAAAUGCAUAGAUAUCGUCAAGAACACCGAUAGCGAAGGCAGCUUACCAAGCUGUAACUGACACUGAGGCACGAAAGUGUGGGGAUCAAACAGGAUUAGAUACCCACGUAGUCCCUGAGCGGGCUGGCAAGGCGCAU
This 467-nucleotide ribosomal RNA is filed under the name uncultured bacterium. RNAcentral's name for it is "bacterial SSU rRNA". It matches the Rfam family "Bacterial small subunit ribosomal RNA", at positions 355 to 825 of the family's 1533-position model. The record is from RNAcentral.